CCUACGGGUGGCAGCAGUGGGGAAUAUUGGACAAUGGGGGCAACCCUGAUCCAGCCAUGCCGCGUGUGUGAAGAAGGCCCUCGGGUUGUAAAGCACUUUCAGUGAGGAAGAACGCCUGGUGGUUAAUACCCAUCAGGAAAGACAUCACUCACAGAAGAAGCACCGGCUAACUCCGUGCAAGCAGCCGCGGUAAUACGGAGGGUGCGAGCGUUAAUCGGAAUUACUGGGCGUAAAGCGCGCGUAGGUGGCUUGAUAAGCCGGUUGUGAAAGCCCCGGGCUCAACCUGGGAACGGCAUCCGGAACUGUCAAGCUAGAGUGCAGGAGAGGAAGGUAGAAUUCCCGGUGUAGCGGUGAAAUGCGUAGAGAUCGGGAGGAAUACCAGUGGCGAAGGCGGCCUUCUGGACUGACACUGACACUGAGGUGCGAAAGCGUGGGUAGCAAACAGGAUUAGAUACCCGUGUAGUC
RNAcentral lists this ribosomal RNA (465 nucleotides) under Vreelandella stevensii. Its description in RNAcentral is "partial 16S ribosomal RNA". It matches the Rfam family "Bacterial small subunit ribosomal RNA", at positions 338 to 795 of the family's 1533-position model. Lineage: Bacteria; Pseudomonadati; Pseudomonadota; Gammaproteobacteria; Oceanospirillales; Halomonadaceae. The record is from RNAcentral.